Molecule: transfer RNA, 74 nt
Filed under: Planctomycetaceae bacterium
Lineage: Bacteria; Pseudomonadati; Planctomycetota; Planctomycetia; Planctomycetales; Planctomycetaceae
Description: tRNA-His
Rfam family: tRNA
About the family: Transfer RNA (tRNA) molecules are approximately 80 nucleotides in length.
Source: RNAcentral
CAGUCUGUAGUGUGGUGGUUCUGCACGUCGGUUUGUGAAGCCGAAAGUGGUGGGUUCGAUUCCCCCCGGAUUGC